AGACCAUGAUGUGGACAGCUCCUCAACAAAUCCUUGAACUGUUCCCAACAAUCACACAAAGUUUCAUUCUUCUAUUGAAGAAACCCUGUUAUAUCAUCCCUCAAUUU
Non-coding RNA from Ricinus communis (castor bean), 107 nucleotides. Lineage: Eukaryota; Viridiplantae; Streptophyta; Magnoliopsida; Malpighiales; Euphorbiaceae. The record is from Rfam.